GACGAACGCUGGCGGCGUGCUUAACACAUGCAAGUCGAGCGGAGCGGCGAACGGGUGAGUAACGCGUGAGUAACUGCCCCCCUCUCUGGGAUAACAGUUGGAAACGGCUGCUAAUACCGGAUAGUGGGGGAUGACUCGCGUCCUAUCAGCUUGUUGGUGGGGUAGUGGCCUACCAAGGCGACGACGGGUAGCCGGCUUGAGAGGGCGACCGGCCACAUUGGGCUGAGAGACAGCCCUAACGCCAUCGGGAGGCAGCAGGGGGGAAUAUUGCACAAUGGUGGAAAUCCUGAUGCAGCAACGCGCGUGCGGGAUGACGGCCUUCGCGUUGUAAACCGCUUUCAGCCAUGACCCGUUAGUGGCAGAAGAAGCACCGGCUAACUACGUGCCAGCAGCCGCGGUAAUUC
This 404-nucleotide ribosomal RNA is filed under the name uncultured bacterium. RNAcentral describes it as "partial 16S ribosomal RNA". It matches the Rfam family "Bacterial small subunit ribosomal RNA", at positions 28 to 526 of the family's 1533-position model. The record is from RNAcentral.